Molecule: long non-coding RNA, 311 nt
Filed under: Coturnix japonica (Japanese quail)
Lineage: Eukaryota; Metazoa; Chordata; Aves; Galliformes; Phasianidae
Description: lncRNA (ENSCJPG00005015546.1)
Source: RNAcentral
AGGAGAAAUAUUAUCCCUUUGAGCUGCAGAGCCUUAAUCUACCUUUGAUCAACAGCUUCAGUUUGAUUCAGAAUGGACAGCAGUUUCAGGGGGAAUACCUACCCAGUCCUGCUGGAUAAUUUCUACCUCUCUCUCAAAUAUAUAGAAGGAAUCACUACAUCUUUCAUCAAGACGUCAGAGGACUGCUGUUACUAAAGGAUGGAAGGAGGAAACUUGACAUAUCAGAAGAAAUACAGAAAGUAUUUUUCUGCAUUGACUUAAAGUAAUCGGGGUGAAUCCCUAAUAGAGCUUAUCAGCUAAAAAUGUAAUAU